RNAcentral lists this ribosomal RNA (736 nucleotides) under Streptomyces daghestanicus. RNAcentral's name for it is "bacterial SSU rRNA". It matches the Rfam family "Bacterial small subunit ribosomal RNA", at positions 43 to 789 of the family's 1533-position model. The record is from RNAcentral. Lineage: Bacteria; Bacillati; Actinomycetota; Actinomycetes; Kitasatosporales; Streptomycetaceae.
UGUGCUUAACAAAUGGCAAGUCGAACGAUGAACCGCUUUCGGGCGGGGAUUAGUGGCGAACGGGUGAGUAACACGUGGGCAAUCUGCCCUGCACUCUGGGACAAGCCCUGGAAACGGGGUCUAAUACCGGAUAUGACCGUCUGCCGCAUGGUGGAUGGUGUAAAGCUCCGGCGGUGCAGGAUGAGCCCGCGGCCUAUCAGCUUGUUGGUGAGGUAGUGGCUCACCAAGGCGACGACGGGUAGCCGGCCUGAGAGGGCGACCGGCCACACUGGGACUGAGACACGGCCCAGACUCCUACGGGAGGCAGCAGUGGGGAAUAUUGCACAAUGGGCGAAAGCCUGAUGCAGCGACGCCGCGUGAGGGAUGACGGCCUUCGGGUUGUAAACCUCUUUCAGCAGGGAAGAAGCGAAAGUGACGGUACCUGCAGAAGAAGCGCCGGCUAACUACGUGCCAGCAGCCGCGGUAAUACGUAGGGCGCAAGCGUUGUCCGGAAUUAUUGGGCGUAAAGAGCUCGUAGGCGGCUUGUCACGUCGGUUGUGAAAGCCCGGGGCUUAACCCCGGGUCUGCAGUCGAUACGGGCAGGCUAGAGUUCGGUAGGGGAGAUCGGAAUUCCUGGUGUAGCGGUGAAAUGCGCAGAUAUCAGGAGGAACACCGGUGGCGAAGGCGGAUCUCUGGGCCGAUACUGACGCUGAGGAGCAAAGCUGGGGGAAAAAAAAAAAAAGAGUUGGGAAUGUUU